GAGACCGGCAAGCCCUAGAUCCGGCAAGCCCUAGAUCCGUGCUGCCAACACCACCACCACCACCACGGUGCCUCGAGCGACCCCAGGUUUGAUAACUACCCAGAAGCACAUGGAAAAGGCCUCUUGCAGCAGGUAUUCUUGAUUAAGUCAUGAAAAUGAAACUGAAGUUUAUUUUUCUCCUUCAUAUGCUCUGGUCUGUGUGGGUGAGAAAUGGUUCUUCUAUAAAAUGACCACGUGGCACCCAUCCAAUGACACAGAAAAG
This 262-nucleotide long non-coding RNA is filed under the name Sus scrofa (pig). RNAcentral's name for it is "lncRNA (ENSSSCG00050001166.1)". Lineage: Eukaryota; Metazoa; Chordata; Mammalia; Artiodactyla; Suidae. The record is from RNAcentral.